Long non-coding RNA from Patiria miniata (bat star), 2802 nucleotides. RefSeq lists it as uncharacterized. NCBI's taxonomy places the organism in Eukaryota, Metazoa, Echinodermata, Asteroidea, Valvatida, Asterinidae. The record is from RefSeq and is a predicted model, not a curated record. The transcript is spliced from 2 exons.
ACCGGCCAGACUUAAAUUCCUGUAAUUAUGCUGCCAGGUCCCGUCUGUAAAAUAUUUCUUUGUCGAUGUCUUAUAUUUUUAGCAUAAACAGCGAUGCGAAAGUUGUCGAAGCAUUGCGAGCGCCCUCUUGUGUUUUCCGUUGAAUAGAGCAUACACAGUUGCGUAACAAUUUGCAUAUGACAUGCAGUGCGAAAAAGCCUUUUAUUCCGUGCAGUGUCUCAAAAGCAUAGGGCUUCGGACGCACAUUCCGUGAAUUUUUCGCUAGUUUUCUUGGAGAGUAAGCAAGCAUGGGUAGGUCACUUGACUGCUUGUCGUUGCUGCUGCCAGCCACACCUUAUUGCGAGCCAGCUUGUCUAUAUUUUGCUGUGUUUCUCACGUGGUUUUGCCAUGGUUAGCACGCCGCAUGUGCAUACACAUAUCAUGUACAUGCAUAUCGUGUAGUUGCCCAAACAUCCCGAGGCAUAGGUACACAGGCCGCAACUGCUCCGGUAAGUGUUUCAACUUCGUAAAUUUUGAUGUUAUCUUAAAUAGCACUUUACGACACAUUUUUAUGCCAUGAAUACUCGAGGUUGGAAGCCAAGUCUGUAUGAAACAUUUUUAUGCCAUGAAAUAAAUAUCCCAGGUUGAAAGCCAAGUCUAUAUGAAAAUUGUGCAUAAGAUGACUUGAAUUUUCGAUACCGAACCUCCUGGUAAUAUUGACUGUAUACUUGUACAUACUUCGAUCCUAAAUACAUGUUUCUUGUAUGUUGAAUUAUAGGGUCAAUGCACUUUAUUGAACUCAAAUUUGGAUAGCGUGGAUGGAAAGAGAAAUAAUAGAAUGUUUUAGCCUGAAAUGAAACACAUGAGACAUAUAGAUGGAUGUACGAAUACAGAAUAUUGAAUACUCUUUUUAUGAGCCUUACUGUUUAAACAAACAAAUGUUAAGAUAUAGAUGUACGGUAUAAAAUGCAUUGUAAAUUCAUCAAUAUAGAAUAACUACGGAUGUGUACACAUGUACUGUGGAGAUGAAACUUUUUGAUGGCACUGAUGAUUAUUUAAUAUUCCUUCAUCGAAACAUUUAUUAGUAUUUAUGAGAUUACUUAAUAUGUACAGUAAUUUUAUUACAGCUACUGCUUGUGGUUCUGUGGUUCCUGAGUGGUCACAAAUAGAGAAGCCUUCUCGAGUAGACCAGUGUAUCCCUUAUCCAGCAUCCAUAAUAUUUGGACUGCUGAAGAAUGACUGUCGUUUUUUUGUAAUAAAAUUUUGAUCAAUUUAUAGUGGAAUAUAUACCCAGUGUCACUUUCAAAUUUCUGCGUAACCUUUCCAGCUCGGUUACAAAAAUGGCGUAGUCGGCAGGAUGUCAUAAAAGACAUCUUAAUUUGUGACACUUUGAUCAAAUACAAACGACAGUCAUUAUUAUUAUUAUCAUCAUCAUCAUCAUCAUUAUUAUCUUCGAUGACAACCUUCUGGAGAGAAGCAUCUUUGAUCUGAAGGGUGGUUUGCUGCAGCAGUGCGUUUACAUCAUCUAGUCUCCGGACAGACAGCUGCCCAGAUGUUCGUCUGAAGUGAGAGUAUUUUCCAUGUAGCUACACACAUCUUCUCGGAGAGCCUUCUUAGCUUCACACAUCUUCCCCACAGUUCGGCACCCAGUCGUUGAGACAGCUUGGAGAGACAUUCUUCACCAUUACCUGUUUUUCAGUCGACCGGCCGUGGAGUGUGCUGCUAGUAUUCAGCUACAGAACUCUUUCACAUAUGGUGAACUGUAAACAUAUUCACUGGGAACAGUGUCUUGCAGUCAAGAUUUUUAACAUUUUAAUAUUGCACAUUCAUUUGUAUUUUAACUUGUAGCCACUGAGCAUGUCGUUUUGACAAUCGUAAAUUUUGCAUGUUAGACACAGCUUUAUCACAUACAUAGAACAGAUUGAUUGAUUGUUUGAUUGGUCCGAUUGAAGAUCAGCUAUUUUGGUAAAAUCAAGUUUGCCAUGGAGAUGACGCUUUAGAUAUUUCACAUUUGAGUAUAUACUCAUAUAUUGUGUGAACAUUUUAGUAACACCGUGGUAGUUUAUUUCUUUUUAUAUCUUCAGGUUUAAGCUUUCCAGGGACAGUUCUGGCUUCUGUACCUCAUGCCUCUCUCCCUGCCCUGCUGUCUUCACAGCAGUUACCACCCGCUUGUUGCUCAGUCUCUCGUAUCCGCGAACCGCUGUAGCAUAUCGUAUCUGUUUCUUUACCGACGCUGCGUAGAAUGCGUGUUAAGGUGAUGCAUGCUAAUUGCUUGCUCAUGCUGCCUGUACUUGUAUUGUCCGUGUAUUGAUUUUUUCACAUAACUAGUUGUAGUCUCUGGUUGAAACAUAUUGAAUUCAUAGUCGCAGAAAGUAGAGUAUUUGCUCUAGAUUUGAGACUUUUGGAGGAAUGACACCUGUACAUUUAAAACCCAGGAUAGAUCUAAUGCAGACCCUGUAUGUCAUUCUUAAACUGUACAGUCCUUUUAUCCGUAUUGAUAGUAGCCAGUAUUUGGUAAAUUUUAUUCUCUUCAUGUCCUAAUUUCGUUUUAACCACUAUAUUUUUGGGAUUAGCUAACCCAAAGUGGAUAAAUAAACAUGUUUAGGUUGGGGAUGAAAGAGGCCCUGUAAGUAUAUGUUGAGGAUUUUCUUUUUAAAAUACAUGUAGGUGUUAGCCAGAUGCUUGGAUUUUUUUAUAGUGAAGGAUAGUGUAGUAUAUGAUCAUCUUGAGAAAUUAGGUUUCUUGGACCAAUUGAGAUAAAUGUAAUCUCUAUUUCUCCAGCGACAUGCUACAGAUGGACCAUAUUUUUACCAUUUUCUCUAU